GACGAACCGUGCGAACGUUGUUCGGAUUCACUGGGCUUAAAGGGCGCGUAGGCGGAAGGUCUUGUCCGAGGUGAAAUCUUUCGGCUCAACCGGAAAAGUGCCUCGGAGACGGAUCUUCUCGAGGGAGGUAGGGGCAUGUGGAACUUCCGGUGGAGCGGUGAAAUGCGUAGAUAUCGGGAGGAACACCUGUGGCGAAAGCGGCUCACUGGACCAUUACUGACGCUGAGGCUCGAAAGCUAGGGGAGCAAACAGG
This 253-nucleotide ribosomal RNA is filed under the name uncultured prokaryote. RNAcentral describes it as "partial 16S ribosomal RNA". It matches the Rfam family "Bacterial small subunit ribosomal RNA", at positions 524 to 776 of the family's 1533-position model. The record is from RNAcentral.